GAAGGAGCAGUUGGGAACUUCAGUAUUUAAAUAUCAGAAGGCAUACAGAAGAACUAGGGCAAUGGAUACUGAGGAAUUGUUGAAAUUCAGAGAUGUGUCUAUAGAAUUCUCUAUGGAUGAGUGGAACUGCCUGGACCCUGCUCAGCAGAAUUUGUAUCGGGAUGUCAUGUUAGAGACCUACAGACACCUGGUCUUCCUUGGGCUUGCUGUUUCUAAGCCAGAGCUCAUCACCUGUCUGGAGCAAAGGAAAGAACCUUGCAAAGUG
Long non-coding RNA from Nycticebus coucang (slow loris), 265 nucleotides. RefSeq lists it as uncharacterized. The record is from RefSeq and is a predicted model, not a curated record. The transcript has 3 exons. NCBI's taxonomy places the organism in Eukaryota, Metazoa, Chordata, Mammalia, Primates, Lorisidae.